RNAcentral lists this long non-coding RNA (251 nucleotides) under Musa acuminata (dwarf banana). RNAcentral describes it as "long non-coding RNA (MACU_LNC004067)". The record is from RNAcentral. Lineage: Eukaryota; Viridiplantae; Streptophyta; Magnoliopsida; Zingiberales; Musaceae.
GUGGCUGCGGCAAGGGUUGCAGCGAGGAGGUGUGAGGCGUUGGGGAGGAGAAGGGAAGAAGAGGAGAAGAAGAGAAGGAGAAGAAGAGGGAGAAGAGAAGAAAAGAAGAAGAAGAAGGAGAUGAGAGGGAAGAGGGAGAGGAAAGGGAAGUGGCUGCAGCUAGGGCGGCAGCACCUCUGUUUCCUGCACGAGGAAACAGAAGAGGUGUGGGGCGUCGGGGAGGAGAAGGGAAGAAGAGGAGAAGAAGAAGA